CCAGACAUAAAAAAUCAUGAGCUAACAUCUCCUUUCUUCAUCAUCUUCUGAUUGAUUCUCUGCCUUUCAGCUUCUUGAGGAUCCUGCAUGUGAUACACAACUGCGAUCCGUCCUGGUGUCUCAAUUCUCAAACCAUAACUUUAUGCACAUUCUAGUUUUAAGUUUUUUUCGUUGUAGUCAUUCUUUUAUGAUUAUUAUUAAUUAGCUGUAUGUUUCUUUUUUCAUUGCAUUCAUAUAUCCAUUAAUUCAUAUUCUAAUUCUAUAUCAUGUUAUCUAACGGUUUUUUUUUUUUUGAUAGGCCAAUGUUAGUUGUUAAUUGUUAGUAAAAUAAUUUCUUCGCUAGGAUUCGAACCCUGAACCUUCACCCAGCAAAUUCCUUCAUUCCCUUAGCUCACCAAGUGAGCUACCCUUCCCUCAUCAUGUUAUCUAAGUACGGAUCUCAUUUGUGAGCCACAUCAAAUCAUUGUACCUCGUUGGAUAUACAGCUAGCUGGAAGUUGCAACUACUUUUGCAACAAAAGGGUAACCAUGUACGAAAUACUGCCAGGUUCAAAAAGUGGAAAUGGGAAAGAAAAUAAGGAAAAAUGAAGAAAAAGUAGAAAUAAACAAAGUGCAUGGUUGUGCUAAGCACGAUCGUGGUUGAUUUAUAGAGCACGACGUCUACAUUUGUAAAGCAUGGCCUUUGAUGUUUCAAAGAGCACGACUAUGCUCCUUAUAAAGCACGGUCCUGCAUGCUUAGUGACGCAACCCACUUGUACUUUGAGUUUAAAAGGAAAUUUUUGAGAUUACGAAGAAAGACUUAUUUUGAGUUCUUAUUAUUGGAGUGAUUUUCUUUGAAGGGCUUCUUUUGAGGUUCUGAAGGCCAUGGGGGAGUAAGAGAAGAGACUACUUGAGGAUAGCGAUUGGUUUAUCUCUUUCUCCUAGUUUAUGAUGUUAGCUGCACUUAGGAUUGUGUUUAUGUUCUUUAUGUAUACAGUAUACAAUGAAUUGCAAAACAUCUUUCUUGAGAGUAUGAUGCAAUUGAUGUUGAGACCCAGUUUUUAGUCUAAUAAUUUUUUUUUUGAAAGCAAAAUCUUUAUUGAUAAGGAAAGGUAACCAAGAGCAAAAAGGUAGCUCAAAGAAACAGUACAAGAUGCAGCACCAAAGUUCCACACAAAGGAUCACAAGGACAGCAAAAAGAAAAAGAGAACAGAUGCAGAACAGAAAGCAUUACAAGGGGCAGAAAAUGGAAAUAAUAAUGGGGGCAAAGCAUUCAAGAGAGUGCAGCCUUCAAACAAUUCCCUUCCAUUAUAGAAAGCCACGAGCCAAGCUUCAAUAGACCAAUAAGCAAGGAUAACAACAAGUAGGAACUAGCAAAAUAACACAGCUUCAUGAUUACAGCAUAAUGUGCAAAUACCAGUAACACAGUUUUUAGUCUAAUAAUUAUUCGAUUC
This is a long non-coding RNA of Lotus japonicus, 1432 nucleotides long. RefSeq lists it as uncharacterized. The record is from RefSeq and is a predicted model, not a curated record. The transcript is spliced from 3 exons. Lineage: Eukaryota; Viridiplantae; Streptophyta; Magnoliopsida; Fabales; Fabaceae.